Molecule: transfer RNA, 86 nt
Filed under: Patescibacteria group bacterium
Lineage: Bacteria
Description: tRNA-Ser
Rfam family: tRNA
About the family: Transfer RNA (tRNA) molecules are approximately 80 nucleotides in length.
Source: RNAcentral
GGAAGAGUGGCUGGAGUGGUCCAUAGCGAGGGUUUGCUAAACCCUUGAGCGAAUAGCUCACGUGGGUUCGAAUCCCACCUCUUCCG